This 27-nucleotide non-coding RNA is filed under the name Bombyx mori (domestic silkworm). The record is from RNAcentral. Lineage: Eukaryota; Metazoa; Arthropoda; Insecta; Lepidoptera; Bombycidae.
CGCAAUAGAAGGUUCCAGACAUCGCGC